RNAcentral lists this ribosomal RNA (419 nucleotides) under bacterium. RNAcentral describes it as "partial 16S ribosomal RNA". It matches the Rfam family "Bacterial small subunit ribosomal RNA", at positions 355 to 776 of the family's 1533-position model. The record is from RNAcentral.
UGGGGGAUAUUGCACAAUGGGCGAAAGCCUGAUGCAGCGACGCCGCGUGGGGGAUGAAGGCCUUCGGGUUGUAAACUUCUUUUGCCCUGAACAAGGCAUGCUAAUGGGUGUGUUGAGUGUAGGGGUUGAUUAGCGCCGGCUAACUACGUGCCAGCAGCCGCGGUAAUACGUAGGGCGCGAGCGUUGUCCGGAAUUAUUGGGCGUAAAGGGCUUGUAGGUGGCUGGUUGCGUCUGUCGUGAAAGCUCAUGGCUUAACUGUGGGUUUGCGGUGGGUACGGGCUGGCUUGAGUGCAGUAGGGGAGGCUGGAAUUCCUGGUGUAGCGGUGGAAUGCGCAGAUAUCAGGAGAAAUACCGGUGGCGAAGGCGGGUCUCUGGGCUGUUACUGACACUGAGAAGCGAAAGCAUGGGGAGCGAACAGG